Molecule: ribosomal RNA, 481 nt
Filed under: uncultured bacterium
Lineage: Bacteria
Description: partial 16S ribosomal RNA
Rfam family: Bacterial small subunit ribosomal RNA
Source: RNAcentral
GAUGAACGCUGGCGGCGUGCUUAACACAUGCAAGUCGAACGAAGCAUUUAGGACAGAUUACUUCGGUUUGAAGUUCUUUAUGACUGAGUGGCGGACGGGUGAGUAACGCGUGGGUAACCUGCCUUGUACUGGGGGAUAGCAGCUGGAAACGGCUGGUAAUACCGCAUAAGCGCACAAUGUUGCAUGACAUGGUGUGAAAAACUCCGGUGGUAUAAGAUGGACCCGCGUCUGAUUAGCUAGUUGGUGAGAUAACAGCCCACCAAAGCGACGAUCAGUAGCCGACCUGAGAGGGUGACCGGCCACAUUGGGACUGAGACACGGCCCAGACUCCUACGGGAGGCAGCAGUGGGGAAUAUUGCACAAUGGAGGAAACUCUGAUGCAGCGACGCCGCGUGAGUGAAGAAGUAAUUCGUUAUGUAAAGCUCUAUCAGCAGGGAAGAUAGUGACGGUACCUGACUAAGAAGCUCCGGCUAAAUACGUG